AGCAGCCGCGGUAAUUCCAGCUCCAAUAGCGUAUAUUAAAGUUGUUGCAGUUAAAAAGCUCGUAGUUGAAUUUCGGGAUUAGUAAGUUGGUCGUGCCUCUGGUAUGUACUGGCUUUACUGGUUCCUCCUUCUUGAAGAACUGUAAUGUCAUUAAUUUGGUGUUGCAGGGAAACAGGACUGUUACUUUGAAAAAAUUAGAGUGUUUAAAGCAGGCUAACGCUUGAAUACAUUAGCAUGGAAUAAUGAAAUAGGACGUUUGAUUCUAUUUUGUUGGUUUCUAGGAUCGACGUAAUGAUUAAUAGGGAUAGUUGGGGGCAUUAGUAUUCAAUUGUCAGAGGUGAAAUUCUUGGAUUUAUUGAAGACUAACUACUGCGAAAGCAUUUGCCAAGGAUGUUUUCAUUAAUCAAGAACGAAAGUUAGGGGAUCGAAGACGAUCAGAUACCGUCGUAGUCUUAACCAUAAACUAUGCCGACUAGGGAUCGGAUGAUGUUAAUUUUUUAAUGACUCAUUCGGCGCCUUA
RNAcentral lists this ribosomal RNA (520 nucleotides) under uncultured Glomeromycotina. Its description in RNAcentral is "SSU rRNA". It matches the Rfam family "Eukaryotic small subunit ribosomal RNA", at positions 569 to 1090 of the family's 1831-position model. Lineage: Eukaryota; Fungi; Glomeromycota. The record is from RNAcentral.